This 71-nucleotide transfer RNA is filed under the name Sodaliphilus pleomorphus. RNAcentral describes it as "Bacteroidales bacterium Oil-RF-744-WCA-WT-10 tRNA-Gly". It matches the Rfam family "tRNA". From Rfam's summary of the family: Transfer RNA (tRNA) molecules are approximately 80 nucleotides in length. Their secondary structure includes four short double-helical elements and three loops (D, anti-codon, and T loops). Further hydrogen bonds mediate the characteristic L-shaped molecular structure. tRNAs have two regions of fundamental functional importance: the anti-codon, which is responsible for specific mRNA codon recognition, and the 3' end, to which the tRNAs corresponding amino acid is attached (by aminoacyl-tRNA synthetases). tRNAs cope with the degeneracy of the genetic code in two manners: having more than one tRNA (with a specific anti-codon) for a particular amino acid; and 'wobble' base-pairing, i.e. permitting non-standard base-pairing at the 3rd anti-codon position. The record is from RNAcentral. Lineage: Bacteria; Pseudomonadati; Bacteroidota; Bacteroidia; Bacteroidales; Muribaculaceae.
GCGGAAGUGGUGUAAUGGUAGCACGGCUGGCAUCCAGUCAGCAGGUCAAGGUUCAACUCCUUACUUCCGCU